Molecule: long non-coding RNA, 250 nt
Filed under: Neodiprion lecontei (redheaded pine sawfly)
Lineage: Eukaryota; Metazoa; Arthropoda; Insecta; Hymenoptera; Diprionidae
Description: uncharacterized LOC124293809
Source: RNAcentral
GUGUUGCGGAAUGGAACCGUGCGGAAAAUCUUCACGGUGGCUGCCUCAGAGCGGUGAAUUUGAAUUUGACUGCGGAACAAUUAAGCCGCAGCUGAACUGAUUGAGGUUAGCGAAUAUCUGAAUGUUACUUUAAUAAUAUUCGUUGGUCAACCAAAUUCCGAAGCUGAACAGUUCAUAAUGCUGUGGCAGGAUAAAACACAGUUAUAGGGUCAGUACUAUCGACUGCAUUUAUAAUAGUUAUGCUAUGAAA